Molecule: ribosomal RNA, 356 nt
Filed under: uncultured soil bacterium
Lineage: Bacteria
Description: bacterial SSU rRNA
Rfam family: Bacterial small subunit ribosomal RNA
Source: RNAcentral
AGGAUUAACGCUGGCGGAGUGCCUAACACAUGCAAGUCGAGCGGCAGCGCGAGUAGUUUACUACUUGGCGGCGAGCGGCGGACGGCUGAGUAACGCGUGGGAACGUGCCCCAAAGUGAGGAAUAACUGCCCGAAAGGGUAGCUAAUGCCGCAUAUGAUCUUCGGAUUAAAGGAUUUAUCCGCUUUGGGAGCGGCCCGCGUCAGAUUAGGUAGUUGGUGAGGUAAAGGCUCACCAAGCCGACGAUCUGUAGCUGGUCUGAGAGGAUGACCAGCCAGACUGGAACUGAGACACGGUCCAGACUCCUACGGGAGGCAGCAGUGAGGAAUCUUCCACAAGUCGGGGGAAACCCGAUGGAG